UGCUGCUCAUCUCGCUGGCCUUCGCG
RNAcentral lists this non-coding RNA (26 nucleotides) under Homo sapiens (human). The record is from RNAcentral. Lineage: Eukaryota; Metazoa; Chordata; Mammalia; Primates; Hominidae.